RNAcentral lists this ribosomal RNA (251 nucleotides) under uncultured bacterium. Its description in RNAcentral is "partial 16S ribosomal RNA". It matches the Rfam family "Bacterial small subunit ribosomal RNA", at positions 85 to 339 of the family's 1533-position model. The record is from RNAcentral.
GUGCUGACGAGUGGCGGACGGGUGAGUAAUGCAUAGGAAUCUGCCUUGUGGCGGGGGACAACCUGGUGAAAACCAGGCUAAUACCGCAUACGCCCUACGGGGGAAAGCGGGGGAUCUUCGGACCUCGCGCUAAUAGAUGAGCCUGCGUUAGAUUAGCUUGUUGGUGGGGUAAAGGCCUACCAAGGCAACGAUCUGUAGCUGGUCUGAGAGGACGACCAGCCACACUGGGACUGAGACACGGCCCAGACUCC